This is a non-coding RNA of Ictidomys tridecemlineatus (thirteen-lined ground squirrel), 416 nucleotides long. Lineage: Eukaryota; Metazoa; Chordata; Mammalia; Rodentia; Sciuridae. The record is from RefSeq and is a predicted model, not a curated record.
AUCGCCCCGCUCAAGACCUAAGAGAGACCAACAACAGAGUGCAGGACAUUCACCCCACAGUACCUAAUCCGUACAAUCUGCUUAGCACCCUGAACCCUGAGCGAAAAUGGUAUACUGUCCUGGACUUAAAAGAUGCUUUCUUUUGCUUGCCUCUGCAUAAAGAUAGUCAGUUGCUGUUUGCUUUCAAAUGGGUAAACCUAGAAACUGGAACGACUUAUCAACUAACUUGGACCAGACUCCCACAGGGGUUCAAAAACUCCCCCACUCUCUUUGAUGAAGCCCUCCACAGAGAUCUCAACAACUUCAGAACUAUGCACCCCGAAGUCACCCUGCUUCAAUAUGUGGAUGACCUGCUACUGGCAGCCGAUACCAAGGAAAACUAUACAUUUUCAGGAUGGAUUGCAGCCUUACACACA